GCGGAUGUAGCCAAGUGGAUCAAGGCAAUGGAUU
RNAcentral lists this transfer RNA (34 nucleotides) under Euphorbia dentata. RNAcentral's name for it is "partial tRNA-His". The record is from RNAcentral. RNAcentral also lists the same sequence under 1 other name. Lineage: Eukaryota; Viridiplantae; Streptophyta; Magnoliopsida; Malpighiales; Euphorbiaceae.